UAUAGCAGCAACACCGUUUAUUUAAAGGGACGUUAUGGAUGGCUGCUAUCUACAGGGAACCUGGACUGCAACCUGGAGUGGAGGGUGGGCCCGGGUCCCCCCCCCAACCAGCUACUUGGAAAGUAGCCUGGACUUUGAGGCACCCCAGAAGGGGAACUGAACUGUAAUGGCCCAGGUGAAGAGCUGGGGCCAGAAAGGCCCUGAGAGGGCGAAGCCAUUGCCUCCAGUGAAGGAGCCUUGGGGCACUGUAUUCUGGAGCAGGAACAAACAGAGAGACAUUAUAGAGGGCACUGAGAGAAGCCCUGUUAGACUUGUACCCUGAAAAGGUUUGCUUUGCUUUUAUCUCACAGAGAGACUGUGUAUGACUUGGCCGGUGGGCUGAGUCAGCAAAGACCCACCACAAACAGAGGGAGAGAGUGGAAGCACUCAGGCAGAGGGUGCUCACGAGAGCUCAAGCUGUUUGGAUACAAUCUGCUUCUUCACAGACUGUGCCAGCCGCAAUAACUGAUCCGCAGUUAGCUCUGAAAAAGAAGAAAUCAUGUGAGGAAAAGGGUUUUUUUCUGGGCGGUAAGAGGCAUUUUGGCAAACUUUCUGCAAACUCCUGUUUGGCGUUGCUUGUCCUACGUCAGGCCCAGAAGCUGUCCUGUGGACUUGGACAACGUGCCUCCUCCAGAGUACGACAGUGCCACUUCACGGUGUCAUCUCCAGCAGCGACAGGCCCCAGCAGCAUGCCCUGCUCGGUAUGGAGCCUUGUGAGAGAAGCAAAUGGGCGGACGUGGCGUGGUGGAUUGCAUGUUUUACACCCCAUCAGUUGUAUAUACAAAAUUAUGUGGACACUUUAUACUUUUGGGGCGACAUCAUAUAAGAAAGGAACCUAGACAGAUUAACUCAUCCCCUCUGCAGACUGACUCUUUAAAUGGGCAAAAACUGGACCUCCAAUGUGAAAAUACCCCCAGGCUCAGAUGGCAGAGGCAGUGUGAGGGGUGUUUGCUUAUAAAAAAAACAUUGCUCCAGCUGGGCAGGAAGGUGAAAAGCCAGCUCGAGAACCAGCGUGCACACUUAUGAUACUCCUUUCGACAGUCUCAUGAUCAGGCUCUUAAGAGUUUGAACUCUUUGGGCAGCAUUGGUUUAUUUGUUCUGUGUUUGUACAGCACCCAGUUAGUGUCUCUGCUGUUGCUCCCUGCCCAGUUACUGCUGCUUCCCCACCAGUCCCACACAGACCUGCUUCCAGCUGUAAUGUCCAGCCGUCACAGCCUGUUUCACAUGCAGCUCUGCAUCUGUUCCUGCCUCCAGCACAGCUCAUGACAGAGCUUGGCCACUUCCUCCUUCACCACCCUUCCCCUUAUCUGGCCUGCGGCUCAGGGAAAAGGGACAUGCAGUGGGGGUUGGCGGGCGGUGUAGUCCCCUGCAUAGACCCAGCUAUGUCACUGUGAUGUUCUGUACCUUGGGGGAACACCCUACACCCCCAUGUUCAUCCUUAUGAUUGUGUGAUAUCCAAUGCAAAGUUUGUCAUGUCGGGUGUCUUCAGAAGGCUCAUGAUUCACUGAGCAUUGUUGUUAUAGUAAUGUUAUAGGUUGUAAUUUCAUGUAUAUAGUUAUGAGGCUGAAAAUGUGUUCUCAUGGCUUAAAACACGCCCAGGUGAAACUCUCCAGGAGUAGAGGGGCAGUUCACAUCUCAUCAGGGCACGUAUGGGACAAACCCAGCCCCGCCUCACAGGAACAAAGAACACUGGCCUAGGCAGCAACAAAGGAUCUGUUGGACUCUCAAGUGAGUCACCCCCCCUUCCCUUGGUCAGUUUGAGACUACAAUGAAGUAAUACUCACCUGACUCUGAAGAGGGGGGGCAAAGCGAAGAGGGAAGAAAGGGAGAGAUGUUUGCCAUGCUACAGACACCACCACCAAGUGACUGAAGCGCUGAUCAAAGGGGAGAGCCUGGCUGAAGGGCAACCAGCCAGCCUGUGUUGAGAAGCAUCUAAAUUUGUAAGGGCAUUGAAAGUGUUAAGAUCAGCUUAGAUUGCGUUUUGCUUUUAUUUCAUUUGACCAAAUCUGACUUGUGCUUUGGUUUAUAAUCACUUACAAUCUAUCUUUUGUAGUUAAUAAAUUCGUUUGUUUAUUCUA
Long non-coding RNA from Caretta caretta (loggerhead turtle), 2117 nucleotides. RefSeq lists it as uncharacterized. Lineage: Eukaryota; Metazoa; Chordata; Testudines; Cheloniidae. The record is from RefSeq and is a predicted model, not a curated record.